GAAUGCUAAAUGCAAAUAUAAACGUAAAUAUUUUAUUUUAUUUAUUGAAAAAUAUUAAUUUAUUUUAUUUUAUGUUUUGUAUUUUUUUUCAAACACCUUUAAAACUUAAGCAGGACAUUUGGUUUUAAUUUGGAUUUCUGUUCAGUAUAUUAAAGAAAUUAUAAUAUUAGGUGUUUUAUGUCCCUUCUGUCACGGUGUCUGUUCUGUGUCUCCCUGGGUGGCCACUAGAGGUCUCACUUCCCCUUAUCGUCACUCCACUUUAGAACUGCAUUUCCCGUAGUCUUGUCUGUUUCAUCACUGCUCAUUGCACUCAGCUGUCCGUGGUUAUCAAUCAUUGCACUCAGCCAAUUCCCCGUUAGCAUCGUCAUUUCCCUGUGUAUAAAUACCCCGGUUGUUCUGUCAUUGUCACGGAGUCCUUGUUGAAUGUCACCCUGGUUUGUCGUGGUUCUCGGAUGUUGUUUAUGUUUCUUGUUUCUGGACUGCUUACCUGGAUUGUGACCUUUGCCUGGCUGACCAUGAGAUUUGGAUUAUCCUAAUAAAACAUACUGCAAUUGGAUCUACCUGUUUGUGUGCGUGUCGUGACAGAAGGACUCCGUCAUGCCUAGAUCCAGCGGUGUGGGAUUUCGAAUCGGUUCCCCAGCCACCAUGGAGGAACGGAGGGGGAGAUUCCGGAACUUAACCACCCUUCGUCAAAGGGGGAGUGAGGUGGGUGGCCUGGCGCAAUUGUUUUGGACCAUGGCGGUCGGGAUGGGUUAUAAUGAUGCAGCACUGAAGGACUUUUUUAACAACUGUCUGGAUGACCCUUUACCUCAAUGGGAGAUGAAGGGGCUGGAGAUCCUAGACUUUUGGGGGUUUACCCAUUACCUGUGCCAUCGUGCUCAAUGGGAUACUUCGACCACACCUGUGUCUCCAGAGAAGAGGGCCGCCAGCCCAGCGCCACAGCACAAGAUGGCCACCAACCCGGCGCCACAGCACAAGAUGGCCGCCAGCCCAGCGCCACAGCACAAGAUGGCCGCCAGCCCAGCGCCACAGCACAAGAUGGCCGCCAGCCCAGCACCACAGCACGAGAUGACCACCAGCCCAGCACCACUGCACAGGAGGGUCGAAUCUACACCUGUGUUGGCAGACAAGAUGGUUGACUCAACGCCUGAGUCUUCCGUCAAGGAGCCACCGGCACGUCAUCAUAGAGGCCGCAGGAGGAGGAGACAGGCGUCAGCCAUUCCUCAAAGCCCGGAGGACGUUCCCGAGCAGGCCGCUGCCGUCCAGGAGGACGUUCCCGAGCAGGCCGCUGCCGUCCAGGAGGACGUUCCCGAGCAGGCCGCGGUCGUCCAGGUGAAUGUGGCAGGGAGCUCAUUGUUUGCACUGUGCCAUGCAUUUGGCUUUCUCUCUUGAUCUAUUGUCUGCAUUAUUCAUUGUUUUCAUACAGUUGGGUAGGAUAAACAAUCACAGGCAACAUUGUAAGCCUCAAAACAGUCUUCCCAAUAGAAUUUCACAUGUCAAGGACAUCUGCGCAAGAUUGCAAGUUAUAACAUGUUUGUAACCUAUAACAAUAACGUAUACAUAAUGGAAAGUGUGUAUGUGGAAAAAAAAAGAUACAUAUAUGCACUCUCUCUCUCUCUCUCUCUCUCUCUCUCUCUCUCUCUCUCUCACACACACACUCACGUGUGUGUGUGUGUGUAUAUAUAUAUAUACAGUACAGACCAAAAGUUUGGAAACAUUACUUUUUAAUGUUUUUGAAAGAAGUUUCUUCUGCUCAUCAAGCCUGCAUUUAUUUGAUCAAAAAUACAGUAAAAACAGUAAUAUUGUGAAAUAUUAUUAAAACUUAAAAUAAUAGCUUUCUAUUUGAAUGUACUUUAAAAAAAUAAUUUAUUCUUGUGAUGCAAAGCUGAAUUUUCAGUAUCAUUACUCCAGCCUUCAGUGUCACAUGUAACAUCCAGUCUAUCACAUGAUCAUUUAGAAAUCAUUCUAAUAUUCUGAUUUAUUAUGAGUGUUGGAAACAGUUCUGCUGUCUAAUAUAUUUGAUGAAUAAAAGGUUAAAAAGAACUGCAUUUUUUCAAAAAAAAUAAAAAUAAAAUUCUAAUAAUAUAUAUUCUAAUAAUAUACUUUCUUUACUAUCACUUUUUAUCAAUUUAACACAUCCUUGCUGAAUAAAAGUAUUGAUUUUAUUUAAAAAAAAGAAAGAAAAAAAAAAUUACUUACCCCAAAUUACUGACCAGUAGUGUAUAUUGUUAUUACAAAAAUAUUUAUAUUUUUAAAAAAACAUAGCUUCUACUUUUUUUAUUCAUCAAAGUAUCCUAAAAAAGUAUCACAUGUUCUGAAAAAAUAUUAAGCAGCAGAACUGUUUCCAACUGUGAUAAUGAAUCAUCAUAUUAGAAUGAUUUCUAAAGGAUCAUGUGAUAAUGAUCCUAAAAAUUCAGCUUUGCAUCACAGAAAUAAAUGAUAAUUUAAAGUAUAAUAAAUUUAAAAACAAUUAUUUUAAAUUGUAAUAAUAUAUCACAAUAUUACUGUUUUUUUCUGUAUUUUCGAUCAAAUAAAUGCAGGCUUGAUGAGCAGAAGAAACUUCUUUCAAAAACAUUAAAAAUAGUAAUUUUUCCAAACUUUUGGUCUGUACUAUAUAUAUAUAUAUAUAUAUAUAUAUAUAUAUAUAUAUAUAUAUAUAUACACACACACACACACACACACACACACACACACACACACACACACACACAGUGUAAACAUUUAAAAAUGUGUUUUGUUAAAGAUGUAAAUCUUUUUUUUUAUAAUUAACUUUUUAGUAAAUAAACAAAAAAUAAAUAGCAUUAUAAAUAAUUUUAUACUAUAAAACUUUAAUCCUU
Long non-coding RNA from Cyprinus carpio carpio, 2837 nucleotides. The record is from Ensembl. Lineage: Eukaryota; Metazoa; Chordata; Actinopteri; Cypriniformes; Cyprinidae.